AAGCCGGUUGAUUACGCACUACUCUAUU
RNAcentral lists this small RNA (28 nucleotides) under Bombyx mori (domestic silkworm). Its description in RNAcentral is "ovarian small RNA-10580". Lineage: Eukaryota; Metazoa; Arthropoda; Insecta; Lepidoptera; Bombycidae. The record is from RNAcentral.